ACCAUUUCAACUUCAAAAUACUCUUUUAACUUAGCUUGUAAUAUUCGUUUUAUCAACUUCAAUCAAAUAUUGUCAAAAUGGAGCAUUAGUACUUAUAACGUCUAAUUGCAACUAAGUUAACUUACCUCAGGUCAAGAGUACAAUAAUGAUAAUAUUAAUCCACUAAGUCAAAUUAAACAUCAUAGAAAUGUAAUUACAAUUACGCCACAUAAGGUUAAAUUCCAUUUUCCAUCUAAUCAUCACUCAUAAGUGCAGCAAAAGAGAAAAAAGCGUGAACCUACCUCCAAAUUCGAAUGCAAUAGGUUGACAAAAUCAUACAUGAAUAAAAACAAGUAAAAGACAAGGAAGAUAUAAUACCAAUAUAGGAUUGAAUAGCUGUUUGGAGAGCAGAAAACUUUUUAUUGGAACACUCCUUGAGCAUUGAUUCCAAUGCUCGAGUUAUGAAACCUCCCGCAGCUCCACCAGCCAUUUUCUCUUUUUUUUAUUGGUUUUCGCCUGACCUGCGGAGAUCUAUAAUCAACGGGAUCGAUUUGAAAGCAUCAAUGCGAUCCUGUGGCACUCGAUCUGGAUAUCUACGAUGAAAGUGUUUCUUUUUUCUUUAACCUUAGGACAGCAAAAAAGGAGUUGUUGAGAUCUCGUCGGGAAACCCAGAGAUCUGAAAAUGGAAGAAAUACUGGGAAGGGGUUCAGGGUGCAGACCGUUCCACCACCUCCGGCUCCGGAUCUGUUUUAAAUGACAAAAAAGGUGAAAACAAAAUUAAUAAUAAUUAAUGACAAAAAGGUGAAAACAAAUACUACCGUGUUUUUUACUCUUUUUAUCUUUAUUUACAGGCCUGGCCGUCACUCGAUUGACCAAUUUGGGUCCAGCUCGGAUGUGGCAAAAUUAUU
Molecule: long non-coding RNA, 887 nt
Filed under: Nicotiana benthamiana
Lineage: Eukaryota; Viridiplantae; Streptophyta; Magnoliopsida; Solanales; Solanaceae
Description: long non-coding RNA (NBEN_LNC035712)
Source: RNAcentral